UAUCUAAUCUGUUAAACCUUUUGAUACGUAUGUAUAAAUCCAUCUGCAGGCUGCCUUAUAAACGAGUAUUAUCAUAAUUUUGAUUGAAGACAUGUAUUUUAAACUUGUGUUAGCGUCUGUUGGUCUCUUGUGUGUAGAUGUUGCCUUAGGUAUGUAAAGACACGUUUCUGAUUGUAUGCACGAAUGGUCUCUAAAAUUUGAAACCAUUUGCUGCCAGUAUAGCAAUCACGAACUUUAAAAUACUACUUUAGCGGCUUCGAAAACAAGCAUUUAGAAUUAACAUAGAUGACAGUACUGAUUACUUUUCUGAAGAGAAUUCUAAUGACCUUCAGCUCUAGGAUAUAUCUGCAACUGGCCUUGAAGUGAAAGAGUAAACGUGAGCUACAUGAAGUCGACAUGUAGGUUCAUCACCAUCACCACCGCACACUCUUUUUUAUAAUAACUGUUUUUCUGAUGCCUAUCUUGGUAACGUGACACUGUCUGGGAAAGUUUUAACAGUGGAAAUGGCGCAAUCGACUGCUAUCGUUGCUAUGCUACUGACAAGGAUCCUCAAGCCACCCUCAACUGUCGUCACUUUGAUAAUAUUACCAAAAGUGAGCGCUGUAUAGGAUAUUGCAUGUUUACUUAUGGAUCUUUUACAGAAAAUGGGGUCCUUCUAGGUGUAGCGCAGAGAUAUUGUUCUGUAUUUAAUUGUGAACACCACCAGGCUAAUGACAAAUCAAUAAAAUACUGUACGUCUUGCGGAAGCAACUUAUGCAAUACUGACAAAUAUUGAUCAAUAUGCCUCUGUAGGGAUUACUUAUAGGUAUACAUUUUUGUGUGU
This is an RNA transcript of Photinus pyralis (common eastern firefly), 823 nucleotides long. RefSeq lists it as uncharacterized. Lineage: Eukaryota; Metazoa; Arthropoda; Insecta; Coleoptera; Lampyridae. The transcript has 3 exons. The record is from RefSeq and is a predicted model, not a curated record.